Paramisgurnus dabryanus is the source of this 413-nucleotide non-coding RNA. NCBI's taxonomy places the organism in Eukaryota, Metazoa, Chordata, Actinopteri, Cypriniformes, Cobitidae. The record is from RefSeq and is a predicted model, not a curated record.
AUUGCGUUGUUAUGUUGUGGCUGUGCCCAUUCUCCUAUCUUGGCAAAAGCUUAAGAUAGCUGUUUCUCUGGUGAACGGCUUCUCUGCUGUUUCCUUAGGCCUUGCCUCCCGUUCCGUCUUUAUCUGAACAUCAUCUUUGUCCUCUUCAAAAGUGCUGUCAAGGAUGUGGAUGAUCUCUGAUUCUGGUCCACGUGGCAGUUCUUGCAUCGGCGGUGGCGGGGGUGCAGAAGGUGGUGCUUGUCGUGCUGGCUGUUGUAUCUGUGCGGCUUGUUGAGCUGGUGGUGGUGGAGGGCGACGUUGUGGAGGGGGUUGGAGGUCAUCGUCCAGAAGCGGUACCCUUGUGAAUUGGAAAUGUACCCCAGGUGGGGUACGUGCAGGUGCAUAGGGAGGAGGGAAGAAAAAAAAAAAAGAAA